This is a long non-coding RNA of Cydia strobilella, 255 nucleotides long. RefSeq lists it as uncharacterized. The record is from RefSeq and is a predicted model, not a curated record. The transcript is spliced from 2 exons. Lineage: Eukaryota; Metazoa; Arthropoda; Insecta; Lepidoptera; Tortricidae.
ACAAAAAUAUCAUGGCUAAUAUUAGCAAUGAAUCAAAGUUUCCUGAUUACUACGAAGUUCUACAGUGUCAUAGAACUGCCUCAAACGAAGAGCUGAAGAAGAGUUACCAAAGUCUUGUAUUGUCUACCCAUCCAGAUAAAAUUAAAACACCUGUAUAUGACUUUUUUUAAAUGGUGAAAUGCUUAUGAAGUGUAGUGGAGGGUGCAAGGUGAAACAUGAAGUGUGUAUGUAAGUAAAUAAAUGAACUUUUUAGUA